RNAcentral lists this unclassified non-coding RNA (142 nucleotides) under uncultured fungus. Its description in RNAcentral is "sequence contains ITS1, 5.8S rRNA gene". The record is from RNAcentral. Lineage: Eukaryota; Fungi.
CUGUAGGGGCCUCGCGGCCCCUGCUGAGAUUGCACCCACUGUCUUUGGCGCACCGUACGUUUCCUCGGCAGGCCCGCCUGCCAACGGGGACCCGAACCAAACCUUCUUGCAAUUGCAGUAAACGUCUCAAACAAACAAAUCA